CAGUCGCCGCGGUAAUACGUAGGGUGCAAGCGUUAAUCGGAAUUACUGGGCGUAAAGCGUGCGCAGGCGGUUCGUUAAGACAGAUGUGAAAUCCCCGGGCUUAACCUGGGAACUGCAUUUGUGACUGGCGGGCUAAAGUAUGGCAGAGGGGGGUAGAAUUCCACGUGUAGCAGUGAAAUGCGUAGAGAUGUGGAGGAAUACCGAUGGCGAAGGCAGCCCCCUGGGCCAAUACUGACGCUCAUGCACGAAAGCGUGGGGAGCAAACAGGAUUAGAUACCCCCGUAGUCCCUGUCUCUUAUAC
This 301-nucleotide ribosomal RNA is filed under the name uncultured bacterium. RNAcentral's name for it is "partial 16S ribosomal RNA". It matches the Rfam family "Bacterial small subunit ribosomal RNA", at positions 509 to 807 of the family's 1533-position model. The record is from RNAcentral.